AAAAACCCGUUCGCCGAAAGACCAAGGGUUCCAGUCCAACGUUAAUCGGGGCUGGGUGAGUCGACCCCUAAGGCGAGGCCGAAAGGCGUAGUCGAUGGGAAAAUGGUUAAUAUUCCAUUACUUCUGUGUAAUGCGAUGAGAGGACGGAGAAGGCUAAAUCAGCCUGGCGUUGGUUGUCCAGGUGAAAGGAUGUAGGCAUGUAUCUUAGGCAAAUCCGGGGUACUCUAUGCUGAGAUCUGAUAGCAAGCUGUACUUGUACAGCGAAGUGGUUGAUGCCAUGCUUCCAGGAAAAGUCUCUAAGCUUCAGUUACACAGGAAUCGUACCCGAAACCGACACAGGUGGUCAGGUCGAGUAGACCAAGGCGCUUGAGAGAACUCUGCUGAAGGAACUAGGCAAAAUGGUACCGUAACUUCGGGAGAAGGUACGCUGUUGUUGGUGAUGGAACUCGCUUCCUGAGCUGACGACAGCCGCAGAAACCAGGCCGCUGCAACUGUUUAUUAAAAACAUAGCACUCUGCAAACACGAAAGUGGACGUAUAGGGUGUGAUGCCUGCCCGGUGCUGGAAGGUUAAUUGAUGGGGUUAGCGUAAGCGAAGCUCUUGAUCGAAGCCCCAGUAAACGGCGGCCGUAACUAUAACGGUCCUAAGGUAGCGAAAUUCCUUGUCGGGUAAGUUCCGACCUGCACGAAUGGCAUAAUGAUGGCGGCGCUGUCUCCAGCAGAGGCUCAGUGAAAUCGAAAUCGCUGUGAAGAUGCAGUGUACCCGCGGCUAGACGGAAAGACCCCGUGAACCUUUACUGCAGCUUGACACUGAACUUUGACCUUACUUGUGUAGGAUAGGUGGGAGGCUUUGAAGCUGGAACGCUAGUUCCAGUGGAGCCGUCCUUGAAAUACCACCCUGGUAAUGUUGAGGUUCUAACUCUGUCCCGUGAUCCGGGACGAGGACCGUGUCUGGUGGGUAGUUUGACUGGGGCGGUCUCCUCCUAAAGAGUAACGGAGGAGUACGAAGGUGCGCUCAGCGUGGUCGGAAAUCACGCGUAGAGUAUAAAGGCAAAAGCGCGCUUAACUGCGAGACCCACAAGUCGAGCAGGUACGAAAGUAGGUCUUAGUGAUCCGGUGGUUCUGUAUGGAAGGGCCAUCGCUCAACGGAUAAAAGGUACUCUGGGGAUAACAGGCUGAUACCGCCCAAGAGUUCAUAUCGACGGCGGUGUUUGGCACCUCGAUGUCGGCUCAUCUCAUCCUGGGGCUGAAGCAGGUCCCAAGGGUAUGGCUGUUCGCCAUUUAAAGAGGUACGCGAGCUGGGUUUAGAACGUCGUGAGACAGUUCGGUCCCUAUCUACCGUGGGCGCUGGAAAUUUGAGAGGAUCUGCUCCUAGUACGAGAGGACCAGAGUGGACGAACCUCUGGUGUACCGGUUGUGACGCCAGUCGCAUCGCCGGGUAGCUAUGUUCGGAAGGGAUAACCGCUGAAAGCAUCUAAGCGGGAAGCCUACCUCAAGAUAAGAUUUCCCUAGGACUUUAUGUCCUCUAAAGAGCCGUUCGAGACUAGGACGUUGAUAGGUUGGAUGUGGAAGCAUAGUGAUAUGUGAAGCUGACCAAUACUAAUUGCUCGUGAGGCUUGACU
Molecule: ribosomal RNA, 1620 nt
Filed under: Acinetobacter baumannii TG22336
Lineage: Bacteria; Pseudomonadati; Pseudomonadota; Gammaproteobacteria; Moraxellales; Moraxellaceae
Description: bacterial LSU rRNA
Rfam family: Bacterial large subunit ribosomal RNA
Source: RNAcentral